RNAcentral lists this unclassified non-coding RNA (200 nucleotides) under Cladophialophora sp. RNAcentral describes it as "partial internal transcribed spacer 2". The record is from RNAcentral. Lineage: Eukaryota; Fungi; Ascomycota; Eurotiomycetes; Chaetothyriales; Herpotrichiellaceae.
UUAAGUUCAGCGCGUAUUCCUACCUGAUCCGAGGUCAACCUUUUGAAAAGUUUCCUUACAAAAAGGAGAGGACCGGGUCCUAGGCGCCCUUUGUCCGAUACGUGCUCAAUGAAAAGCUCAGUGUACCGGGGGAACCACAGGCCGCCGUCAUUGUCUUUAGGAGGGGUUGAAUCAAUACUCAACCAGGCCGUCCAACACCA